Syngnathus typhle (broad-nosed pipefish) is the source of this 2057-nucleotide long non-coding RNA. RefSeq lists it as uncharacterized. The transcript is spliced from 3 exons. Lineage: Eukaryota; Metazoa; Chordata; Actinopteri; Syngnathiformes; Syngnathidae. The record is from RefSeq and is a predicted model, not a curated record.
CCUCUUUUCAGAAAGCAGUUGCCAAUUGAGGCACACAGAAUGAAACCUAUUUAGAACAGAUGUUAGGCUUUUUUUUUUCUUUUUUUGGGGAAGGAAAAAGUCACGUGAAAUGAGCAGAUGUUCAGAGUGUAGUGAGACUCACACAGUGCAUUGCAUCGCAGUGCACGGACGGAGGGAACCCGCAUGACACGCCGAACUGGAGCCGAACCGAGCCCGACAUCACGCUUAUCAGCCAUUCAAUGGAUUUUUAUCUGAAUGAUCGCGUGGGCUUUGGGAAGUGGACGUGGGCUCAUCUGCAUGUGGGAGAAAAAAAAAAAGGGUCCGGUGGAAACCUGCUCGACCUCGGACGCGUAUGAUGCGUGCCACCCAGGCUGCAGACAAGACACAAAUCAGUAUGUUUAGGAGGAGUACACAAUGAUGUCACGGACAGGAAAUGGCUGGGAAAAGGCUUGGCACCUCCUGGAAUUGGCUACAUCCCCAUUGGCUCAGUGGAAAAGCUGGAAUAAUAAACAGGCAAUCAGAAGGCGGCGUGAGCGUACACAAAGGCCGUGCAAAACUUUGCAGAUGAUAAAAUCAGAUUUUGGGGGCUCAAAGGCGAUGAUUAUUUGUGGUCGUCGGUUGCCCAUAAAUAGUGGGCCCCUCUCGGAAGUAUAAACACCAGAUCAAACCAUUUCAAAUGUUCUUGUUUAUGUUCAAUCAAGAUGUUGUUUAUAUAAAAUAUAUGUUUAUAGAUCUAUAUACACACAUCGAAUAGAUGUGAAUUAUAUUUAUAUAGAGUGGAAUCUCUUCGGGGGAAAUAAUGAGUUGUGGGACAGGUCGACCGCCACUGAUUUCAAGACGUAUUUUCCCAUAGGAAAUGAUCAUUGUAAAACUUAUAAACCAUCAAUUAAGGGUUUUAUUUUAUUUUUUAAAUAAACUAUUGAGCAUUCUGUACUGUUAGAUGUGGGUAAAAAGAUGUUAACUACUGGAAAUCAAAAUAAACAUGCCUUGGAUUCUACUAAAAAAAAACGUACUAAAAAUAUUUUGUGGGAUUAAAUAGAAAUAUGCGGUAGGAUAUAUUAAGCAUGUUAAAAAAGCAAAAGAAAAAGCAAAAUAACUUCAGCCUCUAACGCUCACUGAUCUAAAUAAAUGCUGCAAAAAAGAAACAAGUCCAGAAAACAAAGCAACACACACGCAGAGUUAACCCAGCUCAAUAUCUUAAUACCUCACACUUUGGAAUCUCCACUCACUGGCCACAUCAUUAGGAACCCUGGCGCAAUUUAUUCAACAAUUUUUAUUGUUGUACUUUGCAAUGUUGUAGCACUACAUAGCAUUACGCAAAUAAAAUUGCUUGCCUCCGUCUCAAAACUUUCCUUUGCCAUCAAUAUACGCUUCCAGCAUGUGAUGAAACGUGCCCGUGUGAUGCAACUCCGAUAAAUAAAUCUGUUGUUAUAACUGAUAGCAGAGACCUUGAUUUAACUUUGAUAAGAGUUUUGGGUCUGGCUCUCGAUUGUUUAAGUGCAUUAGAGAGACCUGAUCCAUCAUACAAGCGCCGUGCACAUCCUCUUGAGAGCAAAUGCAUUCAGAAGACAAUUUGUCCUUUUAUUGCAGUCGAGAGAGAAAGCCGCAUUGCCAGAGGGGAUUACAGACACAGCCAAUUCCUGAUCCCGUCCCUGAAGGCGCUUGACUCCCCGGGUAUUAAUCCCAUGUGCCUUCAUUAACCUGGUGGCCCACCAAUAGCGGGGCUCACACUGAUAAUUAACGUGUCAUUACCUCCACUUACAAAGAUCCCCCUGUUGCUGCGACACAGUUUCAAACACUCUUAUCCCGUUAAGUGGAUUCCAGGAAGGCGGGAUUCUUUUGUGGAAGCGAGGCAAGUCAAAUUGACCAUCAACACCCUCUUCUUGAGCAGACGCUCGGCGCUUAUGUCAAUAAAUUGGAGAGAGAGAUACACUACAUCUGGGGCGUCAUGGCGACACACCAUCCCUCUGAUAAAGGAACCAUUUGGAUGUCAAGAAGAAGUCAUAUGAGAAUUUAGUUCAUGUAAAAAAAAAAAAAAAAAGGAACGCUACACAUUG